AGAGAAAGUGCCCAAGGAGCUGAUGG
This 26-nucleotide unclassified non-coding RNA is filed under the name Mus musculus (house mouse). RNAcentral describes it as "oocyte_clustered_small_RNA12375". Lineage: Eukaryota; Metazoa; Chordata; Mammalia; Rodentia; Muridae. The record is from RNAcentral.